Gasterosteus aculeatus aculeatus (three-spined stickleback) is the source of this 1801-nucleotide long non-coding RNA. The record is from Ensembl. Lineage: Eukaryota; Metazoa; Chordata; Actinopteri; Perciformes; Gasterosteidae.
AAAUCUUCAGUCUUCUCUUUGUAUGAAAGCUGGAUACUGAGGAAACUCAGCUUUCAAACACUUUCAUGGAUUUCAAAUUCAGCUCAUUUUCAAUUUGUUCUGUACGAAGACAAGUUUGGAACUUCAAACUAUAAGGAUCUGGCAUUUGUUAAAACCUGAUUGAGAAAACCGUGUCUGAAGUGAACGUAAAGCGUAGCUAGAUUCUCACCACAGGGACCUUUUGGCUGUUCCUGACCUGAACGCUAUUCAAGACAACAAGGACACACGUCGGUCUCAGGCCGAUUCCCCUCAUCGCUGUCUUUUGCCAGCAAGGAAUGCCCUUUUCACACUGCUACACAGUCGACAUACAAGUUCUACAGAUCAUGUCCAAAACCAUUCAUCUCAUCAUCAAUAGACAAAGGUUAAAAAAAGAAUUCAGAUUUUGUCGACCGAUACCUCUUAUCUGCAGUUUGUAUGCCUAGCGUUGCUUUGAAUAGAUAAAGAGGUUUAGCCGUGUCAUUAAAUUAUGUCUUAUUCUUCUCAUAUUGGUGUUGCUAUACUUAUCAGUUAACACCCAAGUUGUGAUUAAGACUGAGAAAAAGCAAACAAACAUGGAGGCCUCACAUCAGUCAAUCAUUUAAGGGGAAUUACAUACAUUUACUGGAUAGAAUGCUAUAAUGUCAUUGGACGUCCUUUUCCAAUUACCUUAGCAGUCGUACAAAGUAAAGACAGAAAUGCUCAUCGCAAGUCAGCAACAUAAUAAUCUUCCUGACUUUUGUUCUACGUGAUGUGAACGCAGCAUUAAACCCUGUAAAUACCUGAAUGUGAGACCCAGCAGAUGCUUCAUUAUCUGUCUAUCUGUGCUACAGCAUUAAUAUUUAAUGUAAGCCAGCCGUCGCUCUUCAUGCCCGGUGUGAAAAGGGCACAACUGGUGUGUGUUUUGUUGUAUUGUCCUAUUCUAGUCAGAGCCAAAAGUCUUACUGGUGCACCUUGACCCAUGACGUCUUUUUUUCAAGAUUACGAUGAGAUUUUACUUGUUUGUCUCUCGUCAUUCCUCAGAAAUAACACAAGUUUCUUCUGUUGAGCGGUGUUCCAGGAUACUGGAUAAAAUGCCGCUGCAUCCUUUGCAAUAUGUUUAAAGCAAACGGGGCUGUGAGCUGGAUUGUUUUUGCCAUAUCCAAAUGGAAGGAAAUCUGUUUGGGAUUUCAGAAGCAGCUGGCUGUGUUUCUGUUGUGCGAAAGCCUGAUGAAUAAUUUGAAACUACUUCAUUUCUGUUAAAAAUAACCAGAAGCGCUGAGUCUUGACUCCUACGUCGACCUGUGUGUGACUGCAUGGUGUGGCUGUGAGUUGUACUGUAUGUAUAUACGUGCUUUCAUACAUGUAGGAGUGUGUGUGUGUGUGUGUGUGUAGAUAUGCAUGUGUAAUACACGCACAUGCAAUACACUAUGACACAUUCACACCCCUAUGUGAGUACAGCAAAAACCUAUUUUGUUUUGGUACUAAGUACACUACUAUACUAGGGGUUUGUUUUGUAAGUUAUUUGGAAUAAAAAGAAACAGUGGACGGUGAUGUAUUGAUCAUUUGUUGUUUUUAUUCUUGUACAUUGUGUUCAUAAAUGUAGUAAUUAUUUCAUUGUAUGUAUUAAUUUGCUGUUACAUGUAAUACGUUAAAUGCUACUUUCAUUAUGAUUUAAAAAAAUGAAAUGAAUGCAAAACCUUUCCCUGAGCUGGAAAAACUGAAUGCAUAAAAAAAUGACUUGUUUGCUCAUUAUCAGUCCUAAUAGGUUAUUUGUUCCAGUUUCUCAUGGCUCAAUAAAAUCCAC